AUUGAACGCUGGCGGCAUGCUUUACACAUGCAAGUCGAACGGUAGAGGGGGCAACCCCUUGAGAGUGGCGAACGGGUGAGUAAUGCAUCGGAACGUGCCCAGUCGUGGGGGAUAACGCAGCGAAAGCUGUGCUAAUACCGCAUACGAUCUCUGGAUGAAAGCGGGGGACCGAAAGGCCUCGCGCGAUUGGAGCGGCCGAGGUCAGAUUAGGUAGUUGGUGGGGUAAAGGCUCACCAAGCCAACGAUCUGUAGCUGGUCUGAGAGGACGACCAGCCACAAUGGGACUGAGACACGGCCCAGACUCCUACGGGAGGCAGGAGUGGGGAAUUUUGGACAAUGGGCGCAGGCCUGAUCCAGCAAUGCCGCGUGCAGGAAGAAGGCCUUCGGGCUGUAAACUGCUUUUGUACGGAACGAAAAGGUCUGGGUUAAUACCCUGGGCACAUGACGGUACCGUAAGAAUAAGCACCGGCUAACUACGUGCCAGCCGCCGCAGUAA
RNAcentral lists this ribosomal RNA (496 nucleotides) under uncultured bacterium. RNAcentral describes it as "partial 16S ribosomal RNA". It matches the Rfam family "Bacterial small subunit ribosomal RNA", at positions 29 to 523 of the family's 1533-position model. The record is from RNAcentral.